RNAcentral lists this long non-coding RNA (2355 nucleotides) under Mus caroli (Ryukyu mouse). RNAcentral describes it as "RIKEN cDNA D030025E07 gene (MGP_CAROLIEiJ_G0013653.1)". Lineage: Eukaryota; Metazoa; Chordata; Mammalia; Rodentia; Muridae. The record is from RNAcentral.
AAAACCAAAGAUGCUCAUUAGAAGUCCAAGUGAUUCCCACCACGGUUUGAGAGAGAGCUCGGAUUCCUUACCCAGAGGCUGACCAGAGCCCAUCCCCUCCUGGAGAAACGGAGAUAGCUCACCUUCUCCACACUCAAAAGAGCUGAGUGAAGUUACAUGACAUUUCCUAGGAAGCAAACUUAGUGGAACUUUAGAUGUGCCUGGGAACAGUGUCUUCAUGCGAGAUCUUCCCUGCUGAGGACUCUUGAUGCUGCAGAAGCAGGUAGACGCAGCUGUGCUUAGAAGGCAACAAGAUCUCCAGACAACAGACCCGGUGACAUCUCCAGGUGAUCUGAUCUCCUAUAGUGGGUCCCCAGUGGUGGCAUCUUAAAUGAAGACACCAACCAACAACUGCUCCGUCUAUCAACUGAAAACCAAUACCUUGAACAGAAAACAAAAUUCUACUGAUGAAAAAUACUGCUUUGUUGUGUUCAAAGCCUAACACUAAGAUAGAAGAGCCUACUUCUGGAGUAAUUCGUAUAACUCUGUGACAAAUCCACUUCAGCCUUGGUAAUGCCUUUCGUUUUGACUUCAAAACAUUCACUGGCUCUCGCGGAUUUGUGCUAUUUAACACCGAGAUAAAGGAAAGAGAUGCUGCUGUGUGCGCGACACUCGACUCUCUGCUUCCCAUCCCUGGAAAGUCUGGUUGCAUGUUCCAUCUCGUAAAGAAAUGCAUGUUGAUCAUAUGAGCACACCUAAGGAGAAAUCUACUGGGACCGUGUUUGAUUAAAGAGAUCCUGUGGCAUCUUGUGGGCAAAACUUCUUCAAGUGGUUUCUAGACCUACCGAUGGAAUUUGCUUGUGCCUUCACUAAAGAAAAUUGCCACAGAUGUCUACUUCCUUGACCUGGAUACAAUUCAUCUGCCAGAUCCCAAGCGUCACUCCUUUUUAGAUGAACAACUGUGCUGCCCUCAUGCCUGCCAUCUGACACCCUCCUGCUUGGAGCACGUGUCUCCUUCAUACCUAAGCUUCACACCAAGACCAGACUUGUCUAUGACCUAUGAAGUAAUGUGACCUGUUGAGAAGAUACAGCACAUGACUGGAUGUCCUGCACACGCUGCCUGGUCAUCUGACAUCAUGGGUAUCUCCCCGAGGUCCUCUCACCUUUCAACUAGUUCUUCCCAUUGAAACAUGCUGAAACAAAAUACGCGAUCUCGAUAAUUACUAUGUUCAAUAACCUAGAAUUAAAUGCAUUAUCACAACUCUAUGGCACAAUGGGAAAGAAAUUCACUCCCCCUUAAAAAAAAAUAAGUGAAGUGACACGUAUUUAAAAUGUGAUAUACAAAAAAAAACCUUUAAAAAUAUCUUUUUGUGUGUGUAACUUGCUGGAAAAAAUCUAUUAUACCUCCUUGUUCACAAAGUUCUGCUUCAUGCUUUUUCUAAAGAAGUAAAAACAAAACUAAGCUCAUUUUACAGAUGAGCAUUAAAGGGUCUUUUUAGAUUUUAAUUUUUCCUUAAUUUUUCAGCCAUCCUAUCUGAAAACACAGCACCUCCCUCGAAAACUCAUUUUUACAACAAACAGCUUCUUAUAAUUAUCCAACGCUGCUUUAUAAGCUGAAACCCUUUUAGUAAGUUUACAUAAAAACUCUAUAAGGUCCUUAAAACAUCUGUGAUGAAACUCACACAAUGCAGUAAUAUCCAAGGAGAACUCUCAACAGUAGCUUCUCACAGACUGCCAAAGUCCAUGACUCUUUCUUGAGAUUAUGAAAGGCCACUCAUUUUUGUUUUCCUGAACUUAACGUAGACUUAACUAAAUCCCCUAACAGUAGCUAAUGGCUCUUAAUUAUAUGAUGAGAUAAAGGAGAAGAAAGUUGUAUUCACUGAAAGGUAGAAUUAUUACUAAAAUUGUCUAAUUUUACAUGACACUAAAAUUAAAGAUGACACAGCAAAGAAAGCAAAAUGCCCCCACGCAGUGGAUGAGCAAAACCCAAGCUUUUACUUUGCCAAGACUGACUUCCGAGAAUAUGUCUCAGUUUCAAAAAAUGUCAAGAAAGCAGUUAGAUUUCUGCAGUAGAUCUCAACAGUUCUUUGUUAACGUAUGGACAAAUUCCACAUUGUUUUUUGAAUCCAGUAACAUUUCGAUGGUUAAAAUGUCUCCUUCACCACUGAACAACACAGUCUACUCUGAGACAUCCUCAUUGUUCUCCAAUAUAGUCUCCAAAUAGUCUUGACUAAGUGUCACAAGCAGACAUCUGACUUUAAGAGGACUAAGAGAUUGAAAAGACCAGUUAAUGGGAAUGCCUAGCAUUGCUAUAUUAAUUCCUUUGUGGGCCAGAUUUAUUUCCCAAUGGCUUGUGUAAAUAAAUGCACUAGUUAU